Pecten maximus is the source of this 690-nucleotide long non-coding RNA. RefSeq lists it as uncharacterized. The record is from RefSeq and is a predicted model, not a curated record. The transcript is spliced from 2 exons. Lineage: Eukaryota; Metazoa; Mollusca; Bivalvia; Pectinida; Pectinidae.
UGGACUGCUAACAGAUGCUCUGUACACUGGGGACUUCAACAUGACGUCAUUCACCUGGUCGAUAGUUUAAGUAAGGACAUAUAAAGACGGCGUCCACUAGUAGAAGCUAUGAUAAUGGCAUCGCCCGUAAAUGGUAUGUACAUUGUAUGGGCAUAGUGUUGUUGGAAGACACCCCAUUGUCACCCGGUAUACUGAUAACGAACAACUUACUCCUUAGAAGAAGAGGGGCAAGUUUGAUUAGAUUUCUUUAAUUUUAAGACAUUUGUUAACUUAAAAUGUUCCAUAGGAAAGCAUUGUUUGAUUGAGGCAAAAAAAAACAUCGUUAAGAAGUUUUAAAUUGCAUUUUUCUCCAAUUUGAAAAAGAAAUAAGUGAAGGAAUUUUCUUAAGGAAUAUGAGGAAAUCGCAACCAAACGAGGAUUGUUGCCAAGGUAAAGGAAGACACAACCACACGAGGACGACUGUCAAGGAAUUGUCAGUGAUGCCAAGGGCGACAAUCAGACGUCAGUAAGAACACAGGAUAUAGUCAUGCUGGGUCUAAACGCUACUGCACAGAUAAGGAAUACCGCCCCGGGACUUGGCAUGAAUGGAAUACUCUACAUUAAGCACAUGAUUUAAUCAAUCUCGUUUUGUUUAACUUUGUAAAACUUGGCCACGUGCCUCUAUCAUAGUAUAUAAUGAUUUAUGACGAA